This is a long non-coding RNA of Oncorhynchus nerka (sockeye salmon), 2342 nucleotides long. RefSeq lists it as uncharacterized. NCBI's taxonomy places the organism in Eukaryota, Metazoa, Chordata, Actinopteri, Salmoniformes, Salmonidae. The transcript has 2 exons. The record is from RefSeq and is a predicted model, not a curated record.
UGCACGUAUCUAAUAGCCUAGUUUCAUCCUAUUACAUCCGUGGCAUGUUUUCGAAUAAGCUGUAGGGUCAUUAGGCAAUCUGAUACGAGUUUCCAUAAGUCGUUCCUUCGACAGCUGCAUUCUGUGGAAGCACACCAGAGGGCGCUACCAGCUGUGUCCAGUGUGUUCCCUACCCACAACAGGAAGGAGAUGAUGUCCAACGAGCCCUGACACAAAAUCCAGCACGGACAACGACUAAAACUGCCCUGCUAGCCGUCUGAUGUCUAGAGCAGGGUCUCUCAACCCCCCUGGGGGGCCUUCGGGAAUGGAGUGAGAAACAAAUCUGUAAAUUGGGGGGGGGAUCUGAAUUGCAUACUCCUUGAGUCCUCUCUCCUCAACCUCGUUCUCAAAACUCAUUGGAGGAGAUGGUCAGAGGGGGAGGGACCUCUGGCUUUCUCAUCCAAUGGGUUUUGAGAAGGAGGCGAGGAGUCUGAAAAGGAUUUUCUCCCGUAGUCUUUCUCUCACUGAACCCUCUCUCUCCUCAACCUCGUUCUCAAAACUCAUUGGAGGAGAUGGUCAGAGGGGGAGGGACCUCUGGCUUUCUCAUCCAAUGGGUUUUGAGAAGGAGGCGAGGAGUCUGAAAAGGAUUUUCUCCCGUAGUCUUUCUCUCACUGAACCCUCUCUCUCCUCAACCUCGUUCUCAAAACUCAUUGGAGGAGAUGGUCAGAGGGGAGGGACCUCUCUCACUGAACCCUCUCUCUCAAUAAUCUCGUUCUCAAAACUCAUUGGAGGAGAUGGUCAGAGGGGAGGGACCUCUCUCACUGAACCCUCUCUCUCCUUAAUCUCGUUCUCAAAACUCAUUGGAGGAGAUGGUCAGAGGGGAGGGACCUCUCUCACUGAACCCUCUCUCUCCUCAACCUCGUUCUCAAAACUCAUUGGAGGAGAUGGUCAGAGGGGAGGGACCUCUCUCACUGAACCCUCUCUCUCCUCAAAGACCAACGCCUCAUCAGAGGGGAGGGACCUCUCUCAAUGAACCCUCUCUCUCCUCAAAGACCAACACCUCAUCAGAGGGGAGGGACCUCUCUCACUGAACCCUCUCUCUCCUCAAAGACCAACACCUCAUCAGAGGGGAGGGACCUCUCUCACUGAACCCUCUCUCUCCUCAAAGACCAACGCCUCAUCAGAGGGGAGGGACCUCUCACUGAACCCUCUCUCUCCUCAAAGACCAACGCCUCAUCAGAGGGGAGGGACCUCUCACUGAACCCUCUCUCCUCAACCUCGUUCUCAAAACUCAUUGGAGGAGAUGGUCAAAGGGGGAGGGACCUCUCUCACUGAACACCAACGCCUCAUCAGACACAGUGACUUACACCUACACCCACCUCUGCGUUCGACUUGCCAUCCAAUGGGAGUGGAGACAGAAGCUGAGGAUAAAUAACUUGUUUUUCUACAUUGAUAUUGGACUCUGUUAAAACAGUAUUAUACUAUAGUAGCCUUAUGUAUGAAGCUUAAUAGAAAUGCCAAUAGUCAAGAAAUCAUUUAAUAUUUUCAUUUCAAUUAACAUAUUCAAAACAAUCAAACGUUCUUUCUUUGUAAAAUACAUUUUGACCAAAUAUCAAGUCAGAUCAAGUCAGUGUGAAAUUGAGUUUAAGGGAGUUAUUUUUUCUGCAGAAAAUGUGGUUAUUGGAAAAAUAGGGUCAAACAUGAUUGCAUACCCUCUAAUUAAGGUGGGUUGGGAGAGACCUUCAUGUGUCUCCUUCACAACUAAGAGUUCCAUUCGUCAACAAACCACUUUCCAUUGCUGAUUCACUUGGCAUCGGCGAUGAACAGACAUGGAUUCAUUUGGCAUGUGAUGGGGUCAUGAUAGGGGCUGCACCAAAUAAUUGAUGUAUUAUAAUAAUUGAUUAUGCUUAUGUUGCAUUAAUAGAAGGGGAGGGGCUAUUGGACCCCACCUCCUCUACAUUUAUAGGAUCCUAGACUACAGAUGAACAAUAUUUAUAUAUUCAUUAUAACAUUUUAAAAUUGUUCCAAAGUCUUUUCAGGGGAGUAGAAGAGAUAAGAGUCAGACAGACCUCUAUAAAUCAACUUGGGGACAUUUAACUGCUAAGGCCUGAGAAAACACUAGAACAAUUGCAUCUCUCUUGCAAGUUUGUUUGGCUGUGUAUGCAUGGGCUUGGUCUGAUGAGUAGCAGGUAAUGACGUAUGCAGUGACAUCACAGGGGGUUGACUACAAGCAUGACAAAAGCAACUUGGACUUUUCCUAUGGGGCAGAACUCAUGAGAGACAUCAGUUGUAUGUGUGAUGUUUGAUCUUUGACUUCUGUCCACAGAUGUAUUUUUGAUUAAAAUUGUUAUGAUUUAUAAGUG